UACAGGGGGUGCAAGCGUUGUUCGGAAUUAUUGGGCGUAAAGCGCGUGUAGGCGGACCACUAAGUCUGGUGUGAAAUCCCUCGGCUUAACCGAGGACGUGCAUUGGAUACUGGUGGCCUUGAGUCCUGGAGAGGGUAGCGGAAUUCCCAGUGUAGAGGUGAAAUUCGUAGAUAUUGGGAGGAACACCGGUGGCGAAGGCGGCUACCUGGACAGUGACUGACGCUGAGACGCGAAAGCAU
Molecule: ribosomal RNA, 239 nt
Filed under: uncultured bacterium
Lineage: Bacteria
Description: partial 16S ribosomal RNA
Rfam family: Bacterial small subunit ribosomal RNA
Source: RNAcentral